UACGUAGGGUGCAAGCGUUGUCCGGAAUUAUUGGGCGUAAAGAGCUCGUAGGUGGUUUGUCGCGUUGUUCGUGAAAACUCACAACUCAAUUGUGGGCGUGCGGGCGAUACGGGCAGACUGGAGUACUGCAGGGGAGACUGGAAUUCCUGGUGUAGCGGUGAAAUGCGCAGAUAUCAGGAGGAACACCAAUUGCGAAGGCAGCUCGCUGGGACGUUACUGACGCUGAGACGCGAAAGCGUGGGGAGCAAACAGG
This 253-nucleotide ribosomal RNA is filed under the name uncultured bacterium. Its description in RNAcentral is "partial 16S ribosomal RNA". It matches the Rfam family "Bacterial small subunit ribosomal RNA", at positions 524 to 776 of the family's 1533-position model. The record is from RNAcentral.